This 105-nucleotide ribosomal RNA is filed under the name Pteropus alecto (black flying fox). The record is from RNAcentral. Lineage: Eukaryota; Metazoa; Chordata; Mammalia; Chiroptera; Pteropodidae.
GUCUACGGUCAUGCCACCCUAAACGUGCCUGAUCUCAUCUGAUCUCAGAAGCUACGCAGGGUCAGGGUUGGAUGGGAGACCACCUAGGAAUACCAGGUGUAAAAU